UACGUAGGGUGCAAGCGUUAUCCGGAAUUAUUGGGCGUAAAGAGCUUGUAGGCGGUUUGUCGCGUCUGCUGUGAAAUUCCAGGGCUUAACCCUGGGCUUGCAGUGGGUACGGGCAGACUAGAGUGUGGUAGGGGAGACUGGAAUUCCUGGUGUAGCGGUGAAAUGCGCAGAUAUCAGGAGGAACACCGAUGGCGAAGGCAGGUCUCUGGGCCACUACUGACGCUGAGAAGCGAAAGCAUGGGGAGCGAACAGG
RNAcentral lists this ribosomal RNA (253 nucleotides) under uncultured bacterium. RNAcentral's name for it is "partial 16S ribosomal RNA". It matches the Rfam family "Bacterial small subunit ribosomal RNA", at positions 524 to 776 of the family's 1533-position model. The record is from RNAcentral.